CCUACUUUAGUCUUCAGUUUUUAAUAUUUCACAAUUUUUUAAACCCUGAUUCAGCUACUCCUCUUGAGUGAAGAAGUAAUUCGUUAUGUAAAGCUCUAUCAGCAGGGAAGAAAAUGACGGUACCUGAGUAAGAAGCCCCGGCUAACUACGUGCCAGCAGCCGCGGUAAUACGUAGGGGGCAAGCGUUAUCCGGAUUUACUGGGUGUAAAGGGAGCGUAGACGGCAGUGCAAGUCUGGAGUGAAAGGCGGGGGCUCAACCCCCGGACUGCUCUGGAAACUGUACGGCUGGAGUGCAGGAGAGGUAAGUGGAAUUCCUAGUGUAGCGGUGAAAUGCGUAGAUAUUAGGAGGAACACCAGUGGCGAAGGCGGCUUACUGGACUGUAACUGACGUUGAGGCUCGAAAGCGUGGGGAGCAAACAGGAUUAGAUACCCUAGUAGUC
RNAcentral lists this ribosomal RNA (440 nucleotides) under uncultured bacterium. RNAcentral's name for it is "partial 16S ribosomal RNA". It matches the Rfam family "Bacterial small subunit ribosomal RNA", at positions 338 to 795 of the family's 1533-position model. The record is from RNAcentral.